UUUUUUUCAACUUUUGUCCAAGCAACAGAGAUUCUGAUUCGGCUACCAAUACCAAGUUCCAUGUACACACUAAAUUUAUCAGGUUCACAAGCAAAAGUAGUCUAAUUUCUUUAGAUUUCUUCUUUUAAACAUUGCUUUUAGUAUUAUUUCUUGGUUGCUAAAUUGCCUGAGGCAAGAGCUGUUGAUGCAGAUGAAGCAGACAUGGAAGAUGUCCAAAAUUGUGCACUCUUCACCUUUGACACACUUGCCAGGACCCCUAAUGGUGUUACAUCUCCAACAAUUGUCACCUUCUUUGCUGCGAAGUCGAUGCUGAAGGAUGUCACUCCUGGUC
RNAcentral lists this long non-coding RNA (331 nucleotides) under Theobroma cacao (cacao). RNAcentral's name for it is "long non-coding RNA (TCAC_LNC002833)". Lineage: Eukaryota; Viridiplantae; Streptophyta; Magnoliopsida; Malvales; Malvaceae. The record is from RNAcentral.